UUAAUUCUUCAACCUUGGGGGAGAGUUGUCUUUCUCAAGGCUUGGAUCAUGGAGUUUGCUGGCAUCUUGCUGGCUCCUCUCAAAUGCAUUAGCAAAGAACCGUCAAGGGAAAACGGCUCUGGUUUGAUAACAUCUAUGCCAUUGCUGGGAAAACUUUGGGUUCAGCUUCCAACUUGUUAUCCUUCAUUGGACAACACUCGAAA
This 203-nucleotide unclassified non-coding RNA is filed under the name uncultured Agaricales. RNAcentral's name for it is "sequence contains ITS2". The record is from RNAcentral. Lineage: Eukaryota; Fungi; Basidiomycota; Agaricomycetes; Agaricales.